Pelobates cultripes (western spadefoot toad) is the source of this 168-nucleotide non-coding RNA. NCBI's taxonomy places the organism in Eukaryota, Metazoa, Chordata, Amphibia, Anura, Pelobatidae. The record is from the annotation of a GenBank genome assembly.
GCAGACACAUUCCAGCCAAUCAGCAGCAGACCCUCCCUCCCAGACCCUCCCACCUCCUGGACAGCAUCCAUUUUACAUUCAUUGUGAAGCUGCAUUCUUAGUGAGCUGUCCAGGAGGUGGGAGGGUGUGGGAGGGAGGGUCUGCUGCUGAUUGGCUGGAAUGUGUCUG